Molecule: long non-coding RNA, 1443 nt
Filed under: Olea europaea subsp. europaea
Lineage: Eukaryota; Viridiplantae; Streptophyta; Magnoliopsida; Lamiales; Oleaceae
Source: RNAcentral
AACAUCAGGUCGUACUCAGGUCAGUUUUCCACAUUGUUAUGUUUAUAUAUACAUAAAAAAAAAUCUAUCUAAACUGGUACGGCUUGAGAAAUUUUCAUAUUAUGUUUUCUGAAAAAAUGGAAUGUUGCAUUUAAAGCAUUUGAGGUGGCCCACUUCAUCCUUUACACUUUGAUUGUUAAUGCAAACAGAUAUUUGAUUUUCAGCGGGGUUAACUGUCGUGCAAUAUUUUGAGAUUUGUGCACACAAACUGUCGCGCAAUAUUUUCUUUAGCUUGUAUUGAGGAACUCUAAAUCUAAGAGUUGUCACAUAAUUUAACAAAGAACUUACCAAUUUGACAUAAAGAAUAAACUAAAGUUUUCCUAAUAUUUUUCUUUUCGUGGCAUGAACUGCAACAUCAAGUCUUAUUCUGGUCAGUUUUCUAUGUUAAGAAAUGACUCAAGAGAAGAUACAUUAUACAACUCGUGCAACUUGAGAUUUAAAACAAUAGUCUAAAUGUUUUCUUAAGUUCCAAUGAGCUUUUCUAUCGGCUAGGAUUAGAUAUUUCUGUUACGAAUAAUUCUAGUCAUUAUUAGUAGUUGAAAUUUUCCUAAAUAAGUAAUGUGCUAAUACUGGUUGUAGGAUAUUAUUAUUGUUAGACCCAAAUGAGAAAGUAAACCAAUUAAAAACACCAAGUCAUUUAUUAAUUAUGUCUAGAUGAUUAAGGUAAUUAAUUCAAUUAAAUUAAUCCUAAGUGUCAAUCAAAUAAAUAUUUAGAUCAAAUCAAUAAAAUAAAUAACAUCAAGAAUUGAUCAUGGAUGAAGAUCCUCGGGAUAAAAUAACCUCUUGGCAAACUUGCCAGUAAACGAUCCAAUAGAAAAGUUAACUUACAUUUAGUCCAAAUACUAACUCUGGUGGUUGUGCAUGCCCACACUUCCUAAAACCAUGGGCCACUUUUCUCCUAUUGGACCACCAAGAACGAACCUUUAUUCUUCAACACUAGAACUCCAAACACCUCUUCUCCAAGCUUAAGAUUUCUCAAGGUUUAUAGAUGAAGGCGGAGGGUUGUUUCGUGUUUGAAUGGCUAAAGCAAGAGAUUUAUUAGAAUAUGUAAUGGAUCUUCAAAUAAUGUUCUCUUGACUUAAAAUAAAAGCUUAACCGAUGGAAAACAAUAAAUGGGAAAAUAUUAAAUAUAUUUGUGAUUGAAUCAAGAGACCUUUUGAAAUGAGUUUAUGAUCUUCAAAUAAUGAUCUCUAUAAUGAAUAUAAUGUUCAACCACACUUUGGAAUAUUCCAUGGCUUGUGUAUUUAUAAUGGAUAGUGUUUAGGGUGAAAAGGGAUUGAAAAUCACAGUUAAAAUCGAAUCAAGAUUCUUGCUAGAUAAUAUUGCCUCCCAAGCACCAGGUAUGAACCAAGCGAGCAGCAGCCUGUCUCCAAGUGGGCAGUUGUUGCGAAAGUGAGCACCAAU